UACAGAGGGUGCAAGCGUUAAUCGGAAUUACUGGGCGUAAAGGGUGCGUAGGUGGUUAAUUAAGUUGUAUGUGAAAUCCCUGGGCUUAACCUAGGAAUGGCAUAUGAUACUGAUUAUCUAGAGUACGGGAGAGGGAAGUGGAAUUUCCGGUGUAGCGGUGAAAUGCGUAGAUAUCGGAAGGAACACCAGUGGCGAAGGCGACUUCCUGGCCCGUUACUGACACUGAGGCACGAAAGCGUGGGGAGCGAACAGG
Molecule: ribosomal RNA, 253 nt
Filed under: uncultured bacterium
Lineage: Bacteria
Description: partial 16S ribosomal RNA
Rfam family: Bacterial small subunit ribosomal RNA
Source: RNAcentral